GACGAACGCUGGCGGCGUGCUUAACACAUGCAAGUCGAACGCUGAAGGCCUGGCUUUUGUUGGGUUGGAUGAGUGGCGAACGGGUGAGUAACACGUGAGUAACCUGCCCUCUUCUUUGGGAUAACGCCCGGAAACGGGUGCUAAUACUGGAUAUUCACUGAUCUUCGCAUGGGGGUUGGUGGAAAGGUUUGUUCUGGUGGGGGAUGGGCUCGCGGCCUAUCAGCUUGUUGGUGGGGUGAUGGCCUACCAAGGCUUUGACGGGUAGCCGGCCUGGGAGGGUGACCGGUCACAUUGGGACUGAGAUACGGCCCAGACUGCUGCGGGAGGCAGCAGUGGGGAAUAUUGCACAAUGGGCGAAAGCCGGAUGCAGCGACGCCGCGUGAGGGAUGGAGGCCUUCGGGUUGUAAACCUCUUUCGCUAAUGGUCAAGCCGCAACUGUGGGUUGUGGUGAGGGUAGUGGGUAAAGAAGCGCCGGCUAACUACGUG
RNAcentral lists this ribosomal RNA (486 nucleotides) under uncultured bacterium. RNAcentral describes it as "partial 16S ribosomal RNA". It matches the Rfam family "Bacterial small subunit ribosomal RNA", at positions 28 to 507 of the family's 1533-position model. The record is from RNAcentral.